UCAGGACUAGUCACAAGUAAAGGAUACCCACCGUAAAAUCACGCUACCUCUUUUCAGCUGAAUGGAUAAC
RNAcentral lists this unclassified non-coding RNA (70 nucleotides) under Salmonella enterica subsp. enterica serovar Typhisuis. Its description in RNAcentral is "STnc540". It matches the Rfam family "Enterobacterial sRNA STnc540", at positions 133 to 202 of the family's 202-position model. Lineage: Bacteria; Pseudomonadati; Pseudomonadota; Gammaproteobacteria; Enterobacterales; Enterobacteriaceae. The record is from RNAcentral.